Molecule: long non-coding RNA, 935 nt
Organism: Gallus gallus (chicken)
Lineage: Eukaryota; Metazoa; Chordata; Aves; Galliformes; Phasianidae
Source: Ensembl
GUCCCAUAGUAAACUUUUGGAGAGAACUGAGUCAUCUGAAUGGGAAUAGAGCACAUUAAUACUCUUGGCUCCAGCACUAGAAGCAUAAGGAAGGAUUAUUUGGUGCUCAGAGAUAGGCUUGGUCAAGCCUUAUGAAAAGCAGUGAAAUUCUAUCUGUGCACAAAAGCUCAUUAAGCCCCAAAAUCUCAUGAUUUCACAGUGAGUGCCAGGGCCAGUUAAUCAGAUACUACCUGCAGCUUUUCUCCUGCUCAGGUGUUUCCGCUUCCACUGUCAGCAUGGCUGUGUGUAGGCCACAUGGAAAUGCAUAGCAAGGAAACUAUGAAAAAAAAAAAACAACCAACAGACACAGAUCAACCUCUACAUAACUGACAACAUUUUGAAUGAUAGCAUGUGGAGCAAAGGAUAUAUAUUCAAUCACUUCAGUUUUAUAAUGGGUUGCUUUUCAUAUUCAAAUAAAUGCCCACUAAUAAAUACCAGAAUCAUAAAUGCAUCCCACAAGGAAAUCUCAUUAAAAGUUAUUCAUCCCAUCCUUCUAUGUCCUCUCCAAAUGUCAGAGAUAAGAUCAGCUUUAUAGUACUCCUGGAAGAUUAACAAGUAUAAAUUUUGUUGAAGCAGUUUGGCAAGAGGAAACAUGUAGAAAGGAGGUCUCAUACUGAAAGCAAGCUGUUACUGCCUCAAAAAUUAGGAUUUCCUCAUCAGUUUUAUUUAACUGACUUCAUCCUUGAGACUGGAUAACAGCAAAGACUUCUGGAAGAAUCUCCAUUGAGUGCAGACGGGAACAGUUUAAGGAUUAAGGGAAAUACUCUGAUUCAGUGUCUAUUUACAGAAACUAAGGUGGGACUUAUUCUGUGAGGGAAUAUGUGCAAGUGUAAUUCCAUUUACAGCAACAAAUAUAACUUUGUAAUUUGUAUAUGUCUGAAAGCAGAAUCUUUUCU